RNAcentral lists this small nuclear RNA (176 nucleotides) under Myotis davidii. Its description in RNAcentral is "U2 spliceosomal RNA". It matches the Rfam family "U2 spliceosomal RNA". From Rfam's summary of the family: U2 is a small nuclear RNA (snRNA) component of the spliceosome (involved in pre-mRNA splicing). The record is from Rfam by way of RNAcentral. Lineage: Eukaryota; Metazoa; Chordata; Mammalia; Chiroptera; Vespertilionidae.
AUCGCUUCUCGGCCUUUUGGCUAAGAUCAAGUGUAGUAUCUGUUCUUAUCAGUUUAAAAAUUAAAGGGGUGUCCUAGCUGGCUUGGUUCAGUGGAUAGAGCAUUGGCCUGCGGACAGAAGGGUCCUGGGUUCAAUUCUGGUCAAGGGCACAUACCUGGGUUGCGGGCUCAAUCCCC